UACGUAGGGGGCAAGCGUUAUCCGGAUUUACUGGGUGUAAAGGGAGCGUAGACGGCAUGGCAAGUCAGAUGCGAAAGCCCGGGGCUCAACCCCGGGACUGCAUUUGAAACUGUCAGGCUGGAGUGCAGGAGAGGUAAGCGGAAUUCCUAGUGUAGCGGUGAAAUGCGUAGAUAUUAGGAGGAACACCAGUGGCGAAGGCGGCUUACUGGACUGUAACUGACGUUGAGGCUCGAAAGCGUGGGGAGCAAACAGG
Molecule: ribosomal RNA, 253 nt
Filed under: uncultured bacterium
Lineage: Bacteria
Description: partial 16S ribosomal RNA
Rfam family: Bacterial small subunit ribosomal RNA
Source: RNAcentral